Molecule: unclassified non-coding RNA, 230 nt
Filed under: Hevea brasiliensis (rubber tree)
Lineage: Eukaryota; Viridiplantae; Streptophyta; Magnoliopsida; Malpighiales; Euphorbiaceae
Source: RNAcentral
AUCCUCGUCGAUGCUCUAUGGACAACAGCAGCAGCAAUCUCAGUUAUCGCAAUAUCAACAAGGCUUGCAUAGUAGCCAACUCGGCAUGAGUUCUGGCAGUGGCGGAAGCACUGGACUUCAUCACAUGCUUCAAAGUGAAUCAUCACCUCAUGGUGGUGGUUUCUCUCAUGACUUCGGCCGCGCAAAUAAGCAAGACAUUGGGAGUAGUAUGUCUGCUGAAGGGCGUGGCG